This 199-nucleotide long non-coding RNA is filed under the name Elaeis guineensis (African oil palm). RNAcentral describes it as "long non-coding RNA (EGUI_LNC063500)". Lineage: Eukaryota; Viridiplantae; Streptophyta; Magnoliopsida; Arecales; Arecaceae. The record is from RNAcentral.
CCGCAGGGAGUGGAGCAGAAUCAUGGCCGUUAAUACGGUCUGUCAGGGAGUAAUGGAGCUGCGUAGGGUUCGCCGCAGGGAGUGGAGCAGUGUUGUCCGUUACUGUGGCCUGCCAGGGGGUCCAGAUUGGUCAGUCAAUGUUCGGUUAGAGACGGUAGCGAGGUCCGAUAAUGUAGAAGUUUGGACGAGGUCUUCCCGC